GCUGGCGGCAGGCCUAACACAUGCAAGUCGAACGGAGUUAUAUUGUAGCUUGCUAUGGUAUAACUUAGUGGCAGACGGGUGAGUAAUGUAUAGGAAUCUACCUAGUAGUACGGAAUAAUUGUUGGAAACGGCAACUAAUACCGUAUACGCCCUACGGGGGAAAAAUUUAUUGCUAUUAGAUGAGCCUAUAUUAGAUUAGCUAGUUGGUGGAGUAAUAGCCUACCAAGGCAAUGAUCUAUAGCUGAUCUGAGAGGAUGAUCAGCCACACUGGAACUGAGAUACGGUCCAGACUCCUACGGGAGGCAGCAGUGGGGAAUAUUGGACAAUGGGCGAAAGCCUGAUCCAGCCAUGCCGCAUGAGUGAAGAAGGCCUUUGGGUUGUAAAGCUCUUUUAGUGAGGAAGAUAAUGACGGUACUCACAGAAGAAGUCCUGGCUAACUCCGUGCCAGCAGCCGCGGUAAUACGGAGAGGGCUAGCGUUAUUCGGAAUUAUUGGGCGUAAAGGGCGCGUAGGCGGAUUAGUAAGUUAAAAGUGAAAUCCCAAGGCUCAACCUUGGAAUUGCUUUUAAAACUGCUAAUCUAGAGAUUGAAAGAGGAUAGAGGAAUUCCUAGUGUAGAGGUGAAAUUCGUAAAUAUUAGGAGGAACACCANUGGCGAAGGCGUCUAUCUGGUUCAAAUCUGACGCUGAGGCGCGAAGGCGUGGGGAGCAAACAGGAUUAGAUACCCUGGUAGUCCACGCUGUAAA
This 743-nucleotide ribosomal RNA is filed under the name uncultured bacterium. RNAcentral describes it as "bacterial SSU rRNA". It matches the Rfam family "Bacterial small subunit ribosomal RNA", at positions 35 to 806 of the family's 1533-position model. The record is from RNAcentral.